AUUGAACGCUGGCGGUAGGCCUAACACAUGCAAGUCGAACGCGAAAGUCCUUCGGGAUGAGUAGAGUGGCGGACGGGUGAGUAACGCGUAGGAAUCUAUCCUGUAGUGGGGGAUAACGUUUCGAAAGGAACGCUAAUACCGCAUACGCCCCACGGGGAAAGCGGGGGAUCUUCGGACCUCGCGCUAUAGGAGGAGCCUGCGUCGGAUUAGCUAGUUGGUGAGGUAAAGGCUCACCAAGGCGACGAUCCGUAGCUGGUCUGAGAGGGUGAUCAGCCACACCGGAACUGAGACACGGUCCGGACUCCUACGGGAGACAGCAGUGGGGAAUAUUGCGCAAUGGGCGAAAGGGCCUGACGCAGCCAUACCGCGUGUGUGAAGAAGGCCUCGGUUGUU
Molecule: ribosomal RNA, 393 nt
Filed under: uncultured bacterium
Lineage: Bacteria
Description: bacterial SSU rRNA
Rfam family: Bacterial small subunit ribosomal RNA
Source: RNAcentral